RNAcentral lists this long non-coding RNA (840 nucleotides) under Marmota monax (woodchuck). The record is from RNAcentral. Lineage: Eukaryota; Metazoa; Chordata; Mammalia; Rodentia; Sciuridae.
GUUAUGUGGUGCUGAGGAUUGAACCCAGGGCCUCACAUGUGCUAGACGAGCACUCUACUGCUGAGCCAUAACUCCAGCCCGUGCCAAAUGGUUUUUUGAAGUGGUUCUACCAACUUAACAUUCCCACCAAGCAACGGUUCCACAUCCUUGUCAGCACUGGUCUUCUUGAUUUUAGCCAUUGUGAUGAUACCCAGGAAUUUGAACCCAGUGAUCCUGACUUCAAAUCACAGGCCCACUUAUUCUCAAUACCCCUAAUAUCAGGUUUGAAUUUCUCUAGGCUUGGAUUACAUCACAUGUUAGUGGGCAGGACCCAUAAUACAGCCUGCAGACAUCAGAGGGAGCUCUUGCCCAUGGUUCUAGAAGCCAGUGAAGGUCUCAGAGAAGUAUCAUCCCUGAAGAGGCAGUCUGGUGCAAUGGCAAGUUCAGGCUCUCAAACCAGGCAGCCAGGGUUCAGGUCCCAGCACCCACUUUCCAAAGCCAUGCAUACCUGGGUUAGUCAACUUCUACUUCAGAGUGAAACAUGAGUACCUAUGGAUUAUUAUAAGAAAUUUAAAAGUUAAAUAUGAGCCACACCUGGUGGCAUGCACCUGUAAUCCUGACUCAGGAAGCUAAGGCAAAGAAUCAAGUUCAAGUCCAGCCUCAACAACUUAAUGCAAGAUUCUGUCUCAAAAAUCAGAAAGAGCUAGGGAUAUAGCUUAAUGGUGGGGCAUCCCUCAGGUAAACCCUCAGUGCCACCAAAACAAACAACAACAAAAAUGAAGUCUUUAUAAACACCUGACAUGUGACAAAUACCAUAUAAUUGACAGCUAAUGUCAUUUUUAUUGUUGGCCUAAAGUAAGC